UACGUAGGGGGCGAGCGUUGUCCGAAGUUACUGGGCGUAAAGGGCGCGCAGGCGGCUCAUUUUGUCAGGCGUGAAAGCCCCGGGCUUAACCUGGGAACUGCGUUUGAGACGGAUGGGCUAGAGUUCGGGAGAGGAGAGUGGAAUUCCCAGUGUAGAGGUGAAAUUCGUAGAUAUUGGGAAGAACACCGGUGACGAAGGCGGCUCUCUGGACCGAUACUGACGCUGAGGCGCGAAAGCGUGGGGAGCAAACAGG
RNAcentral lists this ribosomal RNA (253 nucleotides) under uncultured bacterium. Its description in RNAcentral is "partial 16S ribosomal RNA". It matches the Rfam family "Bacterial small subunit ribosomal RNA", at positions 524 to 776 of the family's 1533-position model. The record is from RNAcentral.